GCAAGUCGAGCGCUACCUUCAGGUGGAGCGGCGGAUGGGUUAGUAACGCGUGGGAACAUAACCUUUUCUACGGAAUAGCCUCGGGAAACUGAGAGUAAUACCGUAUACGACCUUUGGGGGAAAGAUUUAUCGGAGAAGGAUUGGCCCGCGUUAGAUUAGAUAGUUGGUGGGGUAAUGGCCUACCAAGUCUACGAUCUAUAGCUGGUUUGAGAGGAUGAUC
RNAcentral lists this ribosomal RNA (220 nucleotides) under uncultured bacterium. Its description in RNAcentral is "partial 16S ribosomal RNA". It matches the Rfam family "Bacterial small subunit ribosomal RNA", at positions 57 to 305 of the family's 1533-position model. The record is from RNAcentral.